UAGUCGCUGUUGUUCUAUACUCUUCUUCGUAUACAUUUAUUAAAUGAAAUCGAAACCAUACAAUAACAAUGUGAAUUUAUUACACACUACUUAUUCAAGCUGACAUCGUCUUACUAUAAGUUUAUUUAUUUUCAAUAAGCGGCUAUACGUACUAUUAUUUCGCUUAAGAACAAAGCACGAAGUGACGCACGACGACGAUGAUGAUCAUCGACUCAACAAUGAGGAAGCUUCUACUAACUAUGAGUAUAUACUCGUAUGAAAAGAGUACGAGAACAUCACCAAUAAGAUUUAGCAGUGGCGGUGCGGUGGGUCGGGAAGUGUUUUGAGAAAAUAUAAUAGUUGAUGCUUUCUGCCGAUGCGAUGUCGUGUCGUUGUCGUCGUUGUGUUGAUUGUACAUAGCUAUGGCACUUUUACGGAUAUUUUUCGCUUAUCGAUUGUAGAUUGUUAUAAUAAUCGUAUAAAAUUUCAUGGCCGAGUUGAAGCUCCACAUAAGUGAUUUUAUGAGUAAACAGAGUGUUGAUUAUGAAUUUUUUUUUGUUGCGGAAAUUGUUUUGAACGCUCAAACUAAAAAAGUAAGACGCUUAUGAUGUAAACACUCACUUAACGCCAUGUUUACGAUGUAAUACACAAAAAAGGUGCUUGAGGAGAAACAAAAGGAAUGCAAAAGUUAAACUGUCCUUUUGAAAAGUCUAGCUAGAUUCAUGAAAAAGUUGGAAAGCACCUUUAUAUCUGCGUUGCACUGUUUAUUUUUUAAGAUUUCUGAGAAUUUUUUUCAGACGAAUUGACAUACCAGGAAAACGAAAUAUAAAAAAUCACCUGGCUAUCACGUUAGAUUUGAAUGACUUUUUAUCCUUCUUGAAAUGUACAAUAGCGAAUUCUUGAGAAAUCAAAUCAUAAACAUUUUGUUUAUAUUUCUCAGAAUUUGAAAAUCUCUGAGGUUUUAAAAAUAUAAACUGGCCAAUCAUCACACUAUACAACUGAGUACAACCAAAUGUCAAAUUGAAAAAUGUAUUGUCAAAUUUGUGUGAAGGUUUUAUAGCUUAUCCUUAAAAUGUCAUGACAAAUUGUAUAUAAAUGUAAGGCUAUCCAACUUUAUUUUAGAAUAAACAAAAACACUGUAUAUUAU
Eupeodes corollae is the source of this 1126-nucleotide long non-coding RNA. RefSeq lists it as uncharacterized. The record is from RefSeq and is a predicted model, not a curated record. The transcript is spliced from 2 exons. Lineage: Eukaryota; Metazoa; Arthropoda; Insecta; Diptera; Syrphidae.